UUCAGUUUUCCUGGUGCUUUGUAGCUUUGUAUUUAGCUUAAGCAGAACACUCUUAAAAUCCUGCUCUCAGAACUAAAGUCUUCAUCUUUUUCUGGACUUCUUAAAACCAGCAUUAUUCUGUUGGGGUCAAGCCUGGAUUUUCAUUGGUAACUGUACUCAUUCAGGUAGGAAAUCUUGUGAUUAUUUUCAAUGUAGUAACUGUCUCAACUUGCCCAAAGUAGUUGUAAAAGAAAUCCCAUCACAGCUUCAUUAUUUUCUGGACAGAGAAGGCUGAAUGCCACAAUUCUAUUCUGCAAGGUUUGUCUGACAUCAGAACUGAAUUCUGCAGACUUCAGCAUCUAUCGCUUACAUUACUGCUUAUAACUGUUCUAAAUGCUCUUCCUGCCAUGCUGCUCUUGAAGACAUUAUGAAUAGAAUGUUAUGUUUUUAAUUUAAGUUCUAACAGCUACCUGAAACAGAACCUGGGUAUUGCUAAUUACCUCAGAACAUUAGACUGUAGUCCUGUUGGUACCCUUGAAUUUAUACUCCCAUAACACUCACAGCCUAAAAUGAUAUUGAUGGCACUUCAAAGAUGUUUAACCCUCCCUUUGAUAUUUCCUCUACCUUUCACCACAGUGUUUGGUGUUUGCCUUUCCUCAUCAGAAGAGAAAUAAUUUUUUAAUAUCAUAUUUAGUGUACUUACUGUAUAAUUAUG
Vidua chalybeata is the source of this 694-nucleotide long non-coding RNA. RefSeq lists it as uncharacterized. NCBI's taxonomy places the organism in Eukaryota, Metazoa, Chordata, Aves, Passeriformes, Viduidae. The transcript has 3 exons. The record is from RefSeq and is a predicted model, not a curated record.